Molecule: long non-coding RNA, 1361 nt
Organism: Glossina fuscipes
Lineage: Eukaryota; Metazoa; Arthropoda; Insecta; Diptera; Glossinidae
Exons: 3
Source: RefSeq, a predicted model, not a curated record
AAAAUUGAAACGAUUUUAAUAGAAAAAAAACUAGUGUAAAUUGCCGAGUGUAGUGUUAAUGACUUCUAAUUGCAACUAAAUCGUCGAUCAAUAACACCACAGAGACGUUAUAAAAAACUUAAAUUUGUCGCAGAAAAUAAAAUGAUAAAAAAAUGAAUUCAGACAAAAUUUCUUUAAUCAAAAUAAUUUCGUUAAACGGCUUUCGUUAAAAGUCAUUUAAUACUCUAAAAACAGCUUUUCUACAAAAACGUCUUGGUGUUUGUUUAAAUAAACGUUUAUAAAGAGGUUUAAAAUUAGUAAAGUGAAAAAUUUUUUUGAAAUAAAAUUUUCUUGAAGCAAAACACAAAAAAAAAUAUAUUUUUUCGAACAGAAAACGUUUUCAAUUGUUCCUGGCUUGCAAAAAACUAUUUGAACGACAAACUCAAAUGGAUAGGGACAAUUUAAUUGUUUGGAUUAUAAAAGUAGCAACGGUGUAGGAGCGUUAUCUCUGUUGCCGUCAAUACAAAAACUAUGCCUUAUCUUAAGAUCUAAAUUUCACGAAGAUGUUAUUGAAAUCUUCGUAUGGACCAUCUGCUAACUGUAGAUUGUUCCUAGCACUGCUAUAAUUAGCUCAUCAGAUACUUAUCACUCAUGAUGAGAUCGUCUACAGUGCGAUCCUUAAUUUAUUUAGGAAACAUCACGCAUCUUAUGCAAUGUUCCCGUUUUAUUUGUUUUGGCAAACAUGUCGGGACUGAAUUCGAUAAAAUUUGGAAUCUUUCACAUUGCGUAAGCACUAUACAUAGAAAACACAUAAGUAUUGUGCGUCCUCCUGUUUCUGGCUCACAAUAUUAUAGCUACAAAGAUAAUCUGUUGCUGCGCUAAAACAUGACAAGCAUUUUAUAAUAUAUUCAUUCCUUCAAGCACGCACUUAAUAGUUCUGUCAGCGAUCUGUGCGAUGCGGACUACACUUUUAUUGCAAUCGAUAUUGGGGCAUACAAGUCCGAUCGUGACCGUGACAUUAAAUGCCAUUCGGAAUUCAGGAGGCGCUUACUCCGAAAUAGAGUAGACGAACAAACGUCUCAAGUCAUCACAGACAUUAAUACCGAACUUGUGCGGGGCGACGCGGUAUUUCCUCUACGGGACAACCUAAUGAGGCCUUACCCUGGAAUUCUAUUAGCACAACACAAGGAAACUUCCUAUAAAAGGCUAUCCCGAAAAAAAAGGACAAUCGAAAAUGUAUUCGAUGCAUUGACCUCUCGUCAAAGGCUUCUGUUAAGCCCUAUCCACAUGAAUUUCGAAAACGCCCGCUGCAGCAAUGGUAAGAGGCCGUUGCCGUCUUACAUAAUUUUAUGAAAAUGCAUCAUGGUUCACAAAACAACAAG